Molecule: non-coding RNA, 1414 nt
Organism: Lolium perenne
Lineage: Eukaryota; Viridiplantae; Streptophyta; Magnoliopsida; Poales; Poaceae
Source: RefSeq, a predicted model, not a curated record
AACUAUACAAAUAAUGUAAGCUGAAUACUCCAACAAUACAUCAAGAUACAUAUUGUCGAACACCAUAUUGCAAGGAUGCGGAGGAUUCAGAGUAGAAAGUUUUCAGAACUUAUUACUAACAAAACCUCAAUAGCCACCUCUUAUACAGCUCACAGGAGCUCGUAGAGACCUAGAUUCAUACGGUUCAUGGUAUUCAAUUGUACUAUACGAAGUAAAGAGAUCUCAUAGCAUGUCAUCUCCCAAAUAAGCACCAUGCUCUACAAUUAUUUUGCAACGGAUGUGUGUAUUUGUUCCAGGACUAACAUAUGAGCACAAACAGCGCUGCUGGCCGUGGAAUUGUUGCACAGAACCAACUGAUAUGAUGCUUUAGAGGAGUUAGGGGGGAACGACCAUUGUAAGAUGUGAUAUUAUAAGGAUUCAAUGCACAAUGAGGGAAACAGGGAGUUGUGUGGAAAAUAAUUUUGUGACCUAGUCCACAAAUUCACCCUGGUGGACCAACUCCAGCAAUUGACACGUGGACAGGAGGGAGAAAAUGUACAGGAUUUGGUCGCCUAUUUUUAGAUAUAAACUACCACACAUGACAUGUGUCAAUCGCUGGGGUUAGUCCACGGAGGUGAAUUUGUGGACCAGGUCCCAUAAAAUUAUUUUCCGAGCUAUGUGACUCAUGUGGUUCAUUAGGAAUAGGAUGAAGGGAAGACAUCUCAUAGCAAGCCAUCUCCCGAGUAAUCUACAAUGCUUUUUCUAAAUGGUAGUACAAUAUUUACUUGACCCAAGACUAGUACAUGAGCACAAACAGGGGGCUGGCAAAGAAAUCCAUUGCAAAAUGUGGUCCAAGGUGACCAUUUCCAUACUCCAUAGUCCACUCCGAAUGAUCCGUAAUGUAUAUGUUGAAUCAUGUUUAUGGUCACACCAUAGCAAUGCGUUUGAUGCGGUAUGCAAGAUUGUAUGUACGAUGAGGGAAACAGGCGCUGCGUGACGCUAUUGCAGAUACUAGGAAUCUCUGAAGUCUGAACAUUCCUCCUUGUGGCCUUGUUCUUCUCCUAGAACUGGGCAGGUUGUGAAAUCGUUGACAACAGGUGCGCAUACUGAACUACUGAAACCAAGUUUGCUAGCACUGAUGUUGGUAAUGGGAGUGCGUGACACAAAUAAAAUGGCAAUUGGGGACACCGAGAUGACAGAAUUGGGGAAGGCGAGUGCGAGCUCGUUGAAGAGUGCCGUGUGCGUAUCGAGCGCAUAAGCAGAUAAGGGUAGCAACUAGCAAGCAUACGAGAACGGAUGAGGUAAGCAGAAUGAAGCAGUGGAUAAUCAAGAAGAGAGCAGUUGCUUGCCUCGUAGUCGUACGCUGUGGCCGGUGAUGCAGACGCGGAUGUUCUGGGGCGGAUGCGGAGCCGUCUCGCCGGCGUGGAGGCGGCAA